UGGUGAAGGUACAUAUACAUUUUCCCCAUAUAAGCAUUGCCUGAAAGGUAUGUAUAAUCUAUAACGUCUAAGUAUUAAAACAAACAAAAAAAAAGUCCCCAAGUUGUAUCCCAAUUCUUGCCCAAACCCCUCCUGCUGCCCCAAGGCAGCUCACCUGUGCUUCUGCCUCAGCCAGGCUCCGCUCCUGAAGCACUUUGUGCCCCCUCAGCGUGUGGCACCUCCACCCGCUCCACACUCCUCAUCAACCCCCAGCGCGCACCGCGCCGCCCGUCACGUGACUCCUCCCCGCACCCCCUCCCCGCCUUCCUCCCGCCCACUGCCGGCUCCUCAGCAACCUGGGGCCACUUCCCUGUGGUGGCCUCCGACUUGUCAGUGAUCCAGAGACCUCAGCCGUCCACCCACUUGGCAAACCUCCUGCAGGCUCAAGACAGUGCCCUCAAGGAUCUGUUUUAUUAUCGAAGGAGUGAGCCCAACUCUUCCACUUCUAGGGUGGAGUGGCAAAGAGGAGAGAAGAGGAUGGAGUUGACAUAUUUACUAAAAAAGAUGAUUAAGAAUAUCUAAUAGAAGAUGGCCGAAUAGGAACAGCUCCAGUCUCCAGCUCCAAGCGCAAGCGACACAGAAGACAGGUGAUUUCUGCAUUUUCAACUGAGGUACUGGGUACAUCUCACUAGGGAGUGCCAUGCAGGACAAUCGGUGCUGGUCAGCUGCUGCAGCCCGACCAGCGAGAGCUGAAGCAGGGCGAGGCAUCGCCUCACCUGGGAAGCGCAAGGGGAAGGGAAUCCCUUUUCCUAGCCAGGGGAACUGA
RNAcentral lists this long non-coding RNA (805 nucleotides) under Rhinopithecus bieti (black snub-nosed monkey). Its description in RNAcentral is "lncRNA (ENSRBIG00000045736.1)". Lineage: Eukaryota; Metazoa; Chordata; Mammalia; Primates; Cercopithecidae. The record is from RNAcentral.